UAUGUGUUGUAUAAAAUUAUUUAUUUCCAGUGACAUUGAUAUCAAACAACAACAACUGAGGCAACAUGUUUGAGGCAUAUUAAUAACAGAGGAAUGAUGUACAAUACACUAUGUACCUGGAAAGAGACCCAGAAACAUCGUAAUUACCGGUUAUCUCCUCCAACUCGUCGUUUUCCAUACACACACGCCAUGUUUUUCUCUGUUCUAACUGCAGCGGUGUCUUCAGCCCAGAGAUCUCUUCUCUGAGGAGGGUCCAGAGGCUAUCACCAAUCUGAGGAACCGCAUAUCCUUUGGUCCCAUGUUGAAAGGAGCAGAGAAUUCUUCUCUCCCAGGGGAGAUGGACACAGCAGCUGAGAUGGAGAUUAUGCUUGUCAUACUGGGGAUGGUGGUGGGGUGUUCGCUGAUAACGGGGACACUGCUGCUUCUCUGGAUGGCCUAUAGACGGCGGCGGGUCGAUUGGAUGGUUUACUCAGAGUCCAGAGCGUGCUGYGGCUGCCUGCGUAGAGGAGACAUGAUCUUACCAUAGCCAAGUMGGAGACAAUGGUCAAUCACGUCAGCCUGCAGACCAGACCAGACCCUGGCCAGAAUCAAUCCAAUUCACUCCUAUCGUACGUGACACCCGGGCMGAGCUUCUGUGGUCCCAUAUCUCACUCCCUUCACCGACGCAGUGAAUGUCUUACCUUUACACUGUAGUAAUAUGACACAGAAACACAUGUACAGAAUAGAUUAUCUUGGUCAAUUCUUUUGCAUGGCAACAAUUGCUAAUUCACCAAACAACUGUGCACAGUGAUUCAAGGUGAAUUGAUGAUCAAGAAUGUUUUAUGAUCAUGUGAAUUUAAACACGAUGUGCGUAUUGUGUAAACACCAUAUUGUUAUUGCUAGUCUCUUGUACUAAGUCCUCUAACCCUGCUACUAUCUGGAAGUAAUUGUUUGUUUCAAAAAGUGUAUUAUCCUCUCAAUGAUUCUCAAUCAUCAUCUCAAGCACGACGCAUAUUAUCAUACCAGUUCUGGCCAAUUGCUUUUAAAAACAAUACAGACCACUGGCUACUCUCACUAAGACACAAAUUACACCAACAAUUCGUUAACCUCACUGUCUGCACUACUUCAUCAUGCACCACAUUACCUAAAAUGCUACAACAAUUUGUUCCUGAUUUGCCACAAGCUCAAAUGAUUAAACAACUUUCACAAUGCUCA
Non-coding RNA from Salvelinus sp. IW2-2015, 1194 nucleotides. The record is from RefSeq and is a predicted model, not a curated record. NCBI's taxonomy places the organism in Eukaryota, Metazoa, Chordata, Actinopteri, Salmoniformes, Salmonidae.